UCAAAAUCUACUUCCAUGUACUUUAAAUAUUUUGACAAUAUGAAAGUGUAGUCUAUGUCCUUUUGAUAUAUUUAUGACUAAAACUGAGUAGCAGGGGUGACUAUUAUUUUUAAGCUCUGGCUGAUAACAGAUUUGUGUGAACAUUUAUAUUAAUCUAUUUAGCAUCACACACACACACACACACACACACACACACACACACACACACAUACAUGAUUUAGAGCAGAUACUGGACAAGGACUGAGAAUCCUAUCCGGGCCUGGCAGCACACACUUUUUUAAUCCCAGCACUUGAGAGGCAGAGGCAGAUGGAUCUCUUGAGUAUGAGGCCAGCCUGGUCUACAGAGCAAGGGACAGCCAGAGCUGCUACAGAGAACCCUGUCUCAAAAGAAAACAAAGAAACAAAGAACCCUCUUGUGAUUGGUUGAUUCUCUGCACGUAUCAGGGACUGGGCCAAUUAGAGGUUGACACACCCUGUGCAUGUUCUUCUGGCCCACUCAGGAGAGUGGUCACCCUCUGAAGCCCUCUGCUCAUCUCUGACUUGCUUUGUUGAACCUGGCUAGUUCGUUGGCUGUCAGCCUGGCCCAGCGUUGCCAGCUCUGCCAGUCUUGCAGGUAUUGCUGAUCUGACCUGCGUGGGGUGUGGAAGCCCUCACCAGUUCUCUUGGCUCUCAUGUGGUUUAGCAUAGUAGGGAAUAAUGCCUAUCACUGUUACCAAGACAUAGAUAGCUGCAGUCCUUUUGGGUGACCCCACACUAGCUCCUUGUCUAUGGGUGGUGUCCUCUGGAGGUUUAUUGUUAGAAGCUGUCCUCAUCUAAAGUUCAGUCUGUUACAUUUAGCCACAUUAGAAAGUAAAAGUUUGAAAGCACCGUGCCUUGUGUGUGUCUUCCAGGGCUUCAUGGAGCUGGCCAGCCAACUUGCAAACAUCAACUUGCUUCCCAGGGUAAAAGGGGCCAAGGAAAAACACUCUGACCUGGACUUGACCCCAGGACCGGGGUUUGAAACACCACCAAUCCCUGAGCUUGCCCGAGUCAGGCUUCAGAAUUUCACCAAUCCCUGAGCACACAAUCCCCCCAAUCUCUGAGGUCCCUGAGCACACAAUCCCCUCAAUCCCUGAGCACACAAUCCCACUAAUUCCUGAGCACACAAUCCCACCAAUCUCUGAGCACACAAUCCCCCCCAUCCCUGAGGUCCCUGAGCACACAAUCCCACCAAUCCCUGAGCACACAAUCCCACCAAUCCCUGAGCACCAAUCCCACCAAUCCCUGAGCUUGCCCCGGAAUCAGGCUACAAAACUCCACCAAUCCCAAGCCACCCUGGAAAGCGCUGACCCCAAGAAAUCCUAUAUAAGCUUUCAUCCUGAUACCCAGCAAUGGUUUUUUAUUAAGACCAAUUAGGAUUCAUGCAACAGCAGGAGGAGACUCUUAAACCGCCACCAUGUACUGAGCACUUAGGAGAGGAGCCAAGUUGAAAGCCUUGAGUUCAAGGGCCACAAGAAGAUCCAUUCUCACAGAAAGGUCAUUGUUCAACAUAGAAACUCUUUUGAUCUACUUCAAUAUGCUUUAUUCUACUUCAGCAUUAAAAGGUAUCAUCCCACUGUUUCUCCUUUGAAGCAAGAAAAUAAUACAACUAUUUUCAUACUUGAAGACCUGGGCCGCCCUCAACCGUGGUCAGAGAAGUGUCUUUUUGCAGUGGGCAGCAGUCAGUGCAGAGACUCCUAACUAGUUAAGGAGCUGAGAAUACAUGACUCAUCUACUACUCAUGAAUCACUCAGAUCCUUCCAACAGCUGACAAAUCCAACUGAAGAUAUAUUUAAAUUCAAUGGCACCAAACAGAUCUCAUAGGAACGUCAUCAAUAAGAUUCUGGGCCAAGUGUUUGGAAAUACUCAGUUCUCGAGUGAUCUCAUUGUGGACUUUGCUAGCUUCUGAAGCUUUCUGGGCUUGCCAUCAUCCACCAAUAUGAAAUGGGAGUGGAGAUUAUUUAGAACGUUCAAUUUGCUCAGGGGAUUCAAUAGGGUUUGAUAAGGAGCAACCACCUAAACAAGAGCAAAAGAAGAGACGGUGGAAGGCAGCUGAAUGUAAUACAGCUUAAAAUCCAAGCUCCAGUUGUAACCGCAGCUUUAAUAAGACCCUUUCCAAGCAACUGCUUGAUUCUUGGAUGAAGCUCAAAUUUCUGCAUGCCUCCGUGUACAGAAAUAACAAGUUUGG
This is a non-coding RNA of Peromyscus maniculatus bairdii (prairie deer mouse), 2206 nucleotides long. The record is from RefSeq and is a predicted model, not a curated record. NCBI's taxonomy places the organism in Eukaryota, Metazoa, Chordata, Mammalia, Rodentia, Cricetidae.